CGGCGGACGGGUGAGUAACACGUGGGUAACCUACCUAUAAGACUGGGAUAACUUCGGGAAACCGAAGCUAAUACCGGAUAACAUUUGGAACCGCAUGGUUCUAAAGUGAAAGAUGGUUUUGCUAUCACUUAUAGAUGGACCCGCGCCGUAUUAGCUAGUUGGUAAGGUAACGGCUUACCAAGGCGACGAUACGUAGCCGACCUGAGAGGGUGAUCGGCCACACUGGAACUGAGACACGGUCCAGACUCCUACGGGAGGCAGCAGUAGGGAAUCUUCCGCAAUGGGCGAAAGCCUGACGGAGCAACGCCGCGUGAGUGAUGAAGGGUUUCGGCUCGUAAAACUCUGUUAUUAGGGAAGAACAAACGUGUAAGUAACUGUGCACGUCUUGACGGUACCUAAUCAGAAAGCCACGGCUAACUACGUGCCAGCAGCCGCGGUAAUACGUAGGUGGCAAGCGUUAUCCGGAAUUAUUGGGCGUAAAGCGCGCGUAGGCGGUUUCUUAAGUCUGAUGUGAAAGCCCACGGCUCAACCGUGGAGGGUCAUUGGAAACUGGGAAACUUGAGUGCAGAAGAGGAAAGUGGAAUUCCAUGUGUAGCGGUGAAAUGCGCAGAGAUAUGGAGGAACACCAGUGGCGAAGGCGACUUUCUGGUCUGUAACUG
Molecule: ribosomal RNA, 659 nt
Filed under: Staphylococcus saprophyticus
Lineage: Bacteria; Bacillati; Bacillota; Bacilli; Caryophanales; Staphylococcaceae
Description: bacterial SSU rRNA
Rfam family: Bacterial small subunit ribosomal RNA
Source: RNAcentral